UUUGCGUGUGUGAAAUUUUCACCAAUUUUAUGCACGAAUUUCGGCGUAUUUCAUUGACGAUUCCCAACGGGACGGGACGGGCGAGUUAUUCCCAGCUCCCAGACGAGGUCCUGUGAGAGAGGCACCAUUCUGCAGUCAACCACAGUUUCUGAAUCUAAAACACGGAGAAGGAACGAACAGCCUAAACCGCCAGGAGCAGUAAGAAAUCCCAUCGAUGAUAGGCAACAAGGAGAGUAGUUAUUGUGAAUAUUUCAACUCUAGCACGUGUCAAUCCUCAGUGAUUGUUGCCUUCAUAUAUUACUGGCGUUACGCGUGCAUGGGAAUAUUUUGCGGAUGAUUGCCUUAAAUAGCUGAAGCCCAAACAAAGCACUAUGCAACUGCCAAAAUCUGAUGAAGGUUGGCCUUUAGAUAAUGUGAAAGCUUCUUCGUUAACGCAAGUUUGCCUUUCCUGAACUAACGAAAUAAAGGCUAAUAGUACUUCACAAAAUAAGGUCGGGCGUACCAGGUACCAGUAGCGUAGUCAGAAAAUUAUUGUCGAAGGGGAGACUACAGGACUUUGCAAAGUUACGGUUUUGUGGGGGGUUAUCCCCACCAGCUUGGCUACUGCGUCCGCGAUAUUCGUGGACAAUACCUUUGACUAUUCUUAAGUUCUCAGUGGUUUAAACAUGGCCACGUCAAGGAAUAUUGAAUGUGUUUUUAUCGCUUGUCAUACAUGGAUCAGUUUCUUUGUCUUCUUUGCGAUUGCAUUUGACGGAGUUACUGGAGAGAAAUGUUAGCAUGUGCAAGUUUCAGCAGACAGCUCUGAUAUGCAUCUCAUGAAGUCCCCCUCUCCUUUUUUCCCCCCUCCCUUUUAUACAGGCAUAAUGGAAUGAACCAUGAUUGAACUGGCAAGUUGCUCAAGGUUGGGCUGGUUGUUUACGGCUCUCAAGUACCUUACUGCGGAUGUUGUUGAUCAGUGUAGUUGGUGACUAGGGUUCCAGGUUGCCGGGUGAGGGUGAGUCCGCUCCAGUGACUGUUUGAUGGGACUUGUGUCCUUUUGUGCUAAGGUAUCUUGUGUUGCAGACUACUAGCCCGCAUAUGUGGAACUGAGAAAUUAAAAAAAAUCACUUGUUAACAUGCCUGUGCUGUGUGCACAAGCUUUACAAAGAUCUGCAGUGCACCACCAGACUUCAGUGGACAAUGAUUGAUGGAUCCUUGCCACCUCCUUAAGGGGAAAAUCACACACUAGUGUAACUGAAGUAAAUAUGUCUAAACCAAGUACGUUAUACUGCAAACAAAAACUGAGAUUGAGGCAUGAUAGGUGGAUAAACCCUUCAGGGGGAAACUGAGAUAUAAAGGGAACUGUCUUCGCAACACUUGGGAAGUGCCAAACCGUUUACCCUCGAAUGCAGAAAGGAACGGAAUUAUCUUGACCGAAGAUACAAUCAUCCAUGCAUGCUUGUUGUCUUGCAGGAAAAAUGAACUUCGCUCUGCGCUGUUUAGCAAUGGGCUCCAAAUUUUAACAUAUGGGAAAGAACAGCUGCAUCAGUGGGAACGGAGGCUAGAGUGCUUACAAGGCUGCAUCCAAUAGAACAGAAUAUAGCCUUCACCUAGUUAGUUCCGUAAUGCUUAAGACCUUGGGUUAUGCUGUCUUAACUAGGGUAUUAUUCGUAGUUUGUCAUUCGAACUGGCAGCUUGGAGAGCAAACUACCCCAAAUUAUCCCUCGGUCAAAUACUGGUCCAACACUGGACCAGUCUUCGACCAAUGUUGACAAUAUCCAGCAAAUAUUUUGCCAAGAUGUUGUGCAUUUUUGGGUUGGAAUCAUCUCCUGCGUAUACAUUUCAGAGCUGUCACUUGUUCUACUAACGUCAGAUGAUAAGUUGGUUGCAAUGCACUUAUAAAAGACACAAAAGUUCUGAAUUCUCAGAACGUAAUAGAUUCUGAUGAACACCUUCUUGAAUAUGGGUAAAAGUAAAUCCGAAAACCCUGAAUCCUACUGAUGGCUCGUUGCACUCUAGGUGUAGAUUGAACCGAAUAUAAGUGCCACUGUGGCUUCGGUUCUCCUAUUGGUGUGUAAACAAAUUGCAUAAUACAGCUUCUGGCUUUCUACGACUCUGGCAUCACCGCCACAUGCAACUAUGUUGGAGAUGGGCUUUGGCUUAUUUGCCAGAGUAAUUGUGUCUUUGAAUAAAAUUUUUUAAUCU
Long non-coding RNA from Ornithodoros turicata, 2184 nucleotides. RefSeq lists it as uncharacterized. The transcript is spliced from 3 exons. Lineage: Eukaryota; Metazoa; Arthropoda; Arachnida; Ixodida; Argasidae. The record is from RefSeq and is a predicted model, not a curated record.